RNAcentral lists this ribosomal RNA (502 nucleotides) under uncultured bacterium. Its description in RNAcentral is "bacterial SSU rRNA". It matches the Rfam family "Bacterial small subunit ribosomal RNA", at positions 28 to 517 of the family's 1533-position model. The record is from RNAcentral.
GAUGAACGCUAGCUACAGGCUUAACACAUGCAAGUCGAGGGGAAACGAUAUUGGAAGCUUGCUUCUGAUAGGCGUCGACCGGCGCACGGGUGAGUAACGCGUAUCCAACCUGCCCAUCACUUGGGGAUAACCUUGCGAAAGUAAGACUAAUACCCAAUGACGUCUCUAGAAGACAUCUGAAAGAGAUUAAAGAUUUAUCGGUGAUGGAUGGGGAUGCGUCUGAUUAGCUUGUUGGCGGGGUAACGGCCCGCCAAGGCGACGAUCAGUAGGGGUUCUGAGAGGAAGGUCCCCCACAUUGGAACUGAGACACGGUCCAAACUCCUACGGGAGGCAGCAGUGAGGAAUAUUGGUCAAUGGACGAGAGUCUGAACCAGCCAAGUAGCGUGCAGGAUGACGGCCCUAUGGGUUGUAAACUGCUUUUAUAAGGGAAUAAAGUGGGAGUCGUGACUCUUUUUGCAUGUACCUUAUGAAUAAGGACCGGCUAAUUCCGUGCCAGCAGCCG